Molecule: ribosomal RNA, 111 nt
Filed under: Vibrio parahaemolyticus
Lineage: Bacteria; Pseudomonadati; Pseudomonadota; Gammaproteobacteria; Vibrionales; Vibrionaceae
Description: partial 16S ribosomal RNA
Source: RNAcentral
UUAAAUUGAAGAGUUUGAUCAUGGCUCAGAUUGAACGCUGGCGGCAGGCCUAACACAUGCAAGUCGAGCGGAAACGAGUUAUCAGAACCUUCGGGGGACGAUAACGGCGUC